Molecule: ribosomal RNA, 305 nt
Filed under: uncultured bacterium
Lineage: Bacteria
Description: bacterial SSU rRNA
Rfam family: Bacterial small subunit ribosomal RNA
Source: RNAcentral
GUGCCUACGGGACGCAGCAGUGGGGAAUAUUGCACAAUGGGGGGAACCCUGAUGCAGCGACGCCGCGUGGGUGAAGGAGUACUUCGGUACGUAAAGCCCUAUCAGCAGGAAAGAAAAUGACGGUACCUGACUAAGAAGCCCCGGCUAACUACGUGCCAGCAGCCGCGGUAAUACGUAGGGGGCAAGCGUUAUCCGGAUUUAUUGGGUGUAAAGGGUGCGUAGACGGGAUAACAAGUUAGUUGUGAAAACCCUCGGCUCAACUGAGGAACUGCAACUAAAACUAUUAUUCUUGAGUGCAGUAGGGG